UAGAAGAAGAUUGCCUGGAAAUGGCCAACUACAAGGAAAACUCCCCAGAAGAAGCAGGCUGAAUAGCAAAAUAUACAUUUUCUACAACCAGUCAACCUACCUAUUCUUCUGAACAGUGAUUGCUGCCUUUUUGGCAAUCUUCUUGACUCCAUCCCUGGCAAAAACGGACCAAAGCCAACUCCUGAAGAGAAUCGAUGAGGACCAUAAUGCCAAUAUUGAUAUCCAUGGCAGCAUUGCUCUCAUCCAUGAUACUAAUCCUUGGAGUGAAUGGGAUGGCAUAUUGGAUUACAGCCGAGGUUAUUUGGCUGCCAAGCUGUUUAGUAAGAAGGUUUGCAUGCUGACCAAGAUGGACAAAGUUAUCCUCCCCAGUCUGGAAGUCCUCCAGAAAGCCCUACAUAAUAAGCAGUUACCCAGGAAUCAUACCUCCUCAAAAGGUGUCACCUAUGUGGUUUUACCCACUCGGGUUAAGAAUGUUGCUCAAUAUGGAAAGCCUAUCAGUGAUCUAUGUAGAGGGUUUCCCACCUACUUUGCACAGCAACGGCCUGAGGGCUGUGCCCUGGCACUGGAUCCCCAAUCUUGCUUCAAAGCACGGAUUUAUACCAACACAUAUGGUUUUGGCAUCCUCAUCUGUGGGGAGAUCCCAGGACUCUGAUGAACAUCAUUUUCAGCUACUGAAGGGUUGGAGCUCCUGCUGAUUUGUUAAGGAACCAUGGUUCUUUGCUUCCCAAGAGAGAAGCAAUUCUGCCUGUAUCUUGUAGAUUAUAUUGUUGAUUUCAAUAAAAUUAUU
Molecule: non-coding RNA, 787 nt
Organism: Monodelphis domestica (gray short-tailed opossum)
Lineage: Eukaryota; Metazoa; Chordata; Mammalia; Didelphimorphia; Didelphidae
Source: RefSeq, a predicted model, not a curated record